This 253-nucleotide ribosomal RNA is filed under the name uncultured bacterium. RNAcentral describes it as "partial 16S ribosomal RNA". It matches the Rfam family "Bacterial small subunit ribosomal RNA", at positions 524 to 776 of the family's 1533-position model. The record is from RNAcentral.
UACAGAGGGUGCAAGCGUUAAUCGGAAUUACUGGGCGUAAAGCGCGCGUAGGCCGUCGAGUAAGUCGGAUGUGAAAUCCCCGGGCUUAACCUGGGAAUUGCAUUCGAUACUGCUUGACUAGAGUGUGGAAGAGGGAAGCGGAAUUUCCGGUGUAGCGGUGAAAUGCGUAGAUAUCGGAAGGAACACCAGUGGCGAAGGCGGCUUCCUGGUCCAACACUGACGCUGAGGCGCGAAAGCGUGGGGAGCGAACAGG